This is a long non-coding RNA of Sinocyclocheilus grahami, 1868 nucleotides long. The record is from Ensembl. NCBI's taxonomy places the organism in Eukaryota, Metazoa, Chordata, Actinopteri, Cypriniformes, Cyprinidae.
AUUUUGUUAAAUCAUCUCAAAAUUGCUUUAUUCACAUUGUAGAAAACUGCAGAAAAACACCAACUCGUCCUUCCUCUGUGAACUCGGUCAGCUCGAGGAGGUCUGGAUCUCUCACUGCAAACCACCUAACAGAGACUCUGACCAAACAAACUCAAAGAUUUCAGCUACAGGUUGAUGCUUUUGAGGCACUUCUAAAGAAUGGGAAGCUCAAGUCCUGUGAACAGAUAAAGGGUCUCUCCACACUGGCACAGGGGCAGGAGUCUCUUGAACAUGCUUACCUAGAUGCACGAGCCCAGUAUCAGAUGCAGCAGCAGCAGAGAAAAGGCAAGCAUGUCACCUUUGACCCAGACAGGGACCUAGAAGGUCAGAUCUUCAGGUCAGGGAUGCGAUUGGAGGAGCUGAAGGAGUGGCUGGACCAAGCAGAACAGAACAAACCCAUUUCUGAACCUACUUUAAACCCUCCUACAGAUGUGCUCUGUGUGUCCAUGCUGGAGACCGAACCUCUGCCUGAGAGCCCACUGUCUGCUGUCCAUCCUGAGGCUUGUGUUGGUGUGGAGGUUAGUUCAGUUAGCGGAGAGAGUGAUGCAGACGGAGAGGAGGAAGAAGAGAUCCUCCCAUUUCUUCUUCAUCCCAUCCAUGUCAAACACCAGCGAGUAGAGAGAGACUUCAGUAAGCUCGUGGACUGCUAUCAGAGUUUUAAAGAGCUGCCUGGGAUGCUGGACCCAACUGUGACUUUAAAGAGCCAUGACUUGCUUUAUUUUGGAGACUCUGCUUCUCUUGGGAAUACAAGUGUAACGGACAGACAACAACACAGGAUUUUUAAUGAGAAAAAGACGACGACAUCUGCUCAGCAGCAGGCAGCAGCAGAUUGUGUCCCUCCCUCCGGCCCAUCUGUCAGGUCACAGGUGUGUGACUCUAUGGAAACUCACCUAGAGGCUCUUUGCCACUCCUCGGUGUUGCCAGGGCAACCGGGCAGGGAAAGGAAAAUAGCAGGAAACAGGAAAACUCAAAGCAGUAGCCUGACCAGCCUGGCAGAGAGCACAGAACCCAGAACUAUGGGUUUAAAAGCAAAGGCUAAGACUGUCAGAGCAUCUCCUCUGGAUUGGGUUAAGUCUCCAGAGACAGACAGUGGCUUUAUGGGCUCUGAGAGUCAGCUCACUCCUGCAGUACACAGUCCUCUCCAGCAGAGGGCAGUGGCGAGUUCCAUCGGGCCGUCUGGCCCGCGUGUGAACACAGAAAGACCAGAGUCUGCUCCUCCUGCUAGACAGCCUUUUGCCAUCUCCCCCACUCAAUCACAACCCUCUCCAAAUACCCAAGGAGAACACCUCACCAAGUCUGAAGGAUGCAUGGGUCCUGUGAGGAGGAGAAGAGGGGAGGAAAUGUGUUCUUCUUCCAGCCUUACUCCCUCAUUAUCCCCCAUUCAUUGGCCCAAUAGCACCCUCCUGCCCUGGCCGAGCAGCCUGACCAGCCAAUCAGAGCAUGGGAGUGAUCAGGUCCGUUUCUUAUCAGGGGAUGAGAAAUCACAGGAUGGCCAGUACCCACAACCAGCCAAUCAGCAGCUCCGCUCUCACAGAAGCCCUUCCCUCCAUGUGCCUAAUCACCACGGUGACCACCUCAAAGCCCAAAGUUCCAUUCAGCUAACAAAUCAGCAAGAGGCUCUUCGAUCUCUACAGCAAGAAGUGAACCGAUUGAAAGAGAGACUAGAGGGAAAUCUGAGACUCUCCAAACCUACCAGUCCUGUCAGAGUGCCCUCUUCUGCCACAGAAGAUACCAGGGAUCAGGCUUCCCCACAGACCACAAGGUACCGGAAAUCUAUGAUCUUAGACUGUCCAAAAUUAUGUGUGUUACCUAAAACUUUUAAGUCAUAA